This is a long non-coding RNA of Alexandromys fortis (reed vole), 3868 nucleotides long. RefSeq lists it as uncharacterized. Lineage: Eukaryota; Metazoa; Chordata; Mammalia; Rodentia; Cricetidae. The record is from RefSeq and is a predicted model, not a curated record. The transcript has 2 exons.
CUCACAGUAGAGGGCUGUGAAGGGGUAUAGAGCUGGACAUUAGGGAGGAUGCCAUUGAACUCGGGGACUUUAGAGGCCUGGCAAGUGGGACCAAAUGGAUGGAGGCAAGGGGCAUGUUUCUUGAUAACCUGUGUAUGUGUGUGUACACGUGUACUUUUAUUCUAUGAUGUGCACUCAGGAACAGAGCAGAAGCAGAGAGAUCUUUGUGAAUUUGGUGCUGUUCUACACAGAGACUUCCAAGCCAGCAGAGCUGUGCAUUGAAAUCCUGUCUCUAAAACCAAAUGAAGAGUUUAGAGAGAUGGAGCAGUGACUAAGAGCACUGGCUGCUCUUCCAGAAGACCAGGAUUCAAUGCCCAGCAAUCAAUGGUUACUCAGCCAUCUGUAACUGUAGUUCCAGAUCUGAUGCCCUCUUCUGGCCUCCACAGGAACCAGGCAAGCACAUGGUACAUAUACACAUGUAAGUGAAACAUCCAUAUAUAAAAUUAAAUAUAUUAAAAAAAGCCUAAGUGGAAGCAAGUGAUGGGCCAAUAGGACAAGUCAGGGAAUAAAGGCACUCGCUGCUAGACGGUAUGACUCGAGUUUAACCUGCAGGCUAGAAGUUAAGAACUGACUUCCCAUCCUUCACAAGAGGGGGUGGCAUAUGCAACCAUAUUCACUCACCACACAUACACACCAACUUUUUUUUUUUUUUAAUUUUUGAGAUAGGAUUUCUCUGUGUAAUAGUUCUAGCUGUCCUGGAGCUUGCUUUGUUGACCAGGCUGGCCUUGAAAUCAGAGAUCCACCUGCCCCUGCCUCUCAAGUGUUGGUAUUAAAGGUGUGUGCCACCACCACCUGGCAACACACACCAAUUUUUAAUUAAGACCUUAUGUGUAUGGGUAUUUUACUUGCAUGAAUGUCUGUACAGUGCCUACUGAGGCCAGAAGAGGGUGUCAGAGUCCCUGGAACUGGAGUUUUAGAUGGUGUGAACCGCCAUGUGGGUGCUGGGAAUUGAACCCUGGUCUCUGGAAGAGCAGCCAGUGCUCUUAGCCACUGAGCCAACUUCAAUAAACGUCAUUAAAAAUAUUUUCAAGGGCUGGAGAGAUGGCUCAGCGGUUAAGAGCAUUGCCUGCUCUUCCAAAGGUCCUGAGUUCAAUUCCCAGCAACCACAUGGUGGCUCACAACCAUCUGUAAUGAGGUCUGGUGCCCUCUUCUGGCUUUUAGGCAUACAUGCAGAAAGAAUAUUGUAUACAUAAUAAAUUAAUAAAUAAAUAAGUUAAAAAAAAAUUUUCAAGUGACAACAAAACGGCUGUGAGCAAACUGUCUUAAACCUACUUUCCCUGCAGCUGUGAGUGCAGAGCACCCCUGGAAGGAGACAGGUCUCUGUUCUGCUUCACAAGGGCCAAGUAUUUUUUUGUUUGUUUGUUUUUGGUUUUUUUGAGACAGGGUUUCUCUGUAGCUUUGGUGCCUGUCCUGAACUAGCUCUUGUAGACCAGGCUGGCCUUGAACUCACAGAGGUGCCCCCCCCCCUCUGCCUCCCAAGUGCUGGGAUUAAAGGUGUGUACCACCACCACCCAGCAAGGCCAAGUAUUCCUAAAGAAACACCUGGGAGCUGUUUUAUGUUGCUGGGCCUCAUUUGCCUGUCAUUUGACUUUGGGGAUGUGUGAGGAGGGGAGCUUCCUGCUCUACUCUGGCUUGUGUUGAGUAGGGGGGGGGUCUCUGUGUAGGGUCCAAGAUUCCCAGGUCAAGGGACCCUCCUGCUUUAGUGUCCCAACCAGACAUGACCAUACAAGUGGCCAGAACACACAGUUUGCUAUCUGGAUUUUGUUUUCCAUCCUCCCAAGACUAUGGAAGCUGAGCGAGGGGAGCAAUCUCCUGUAUGAACACAUUUCACUACUUAUAAAUAGCCCUACAUUCAAAGUCUCAGGGUGUGCUUGACACAAGCUGGGGUCAUUUGAGAGGAAGGGACAUCAAUUAAGAAAAGGGUGCAGUGUUAUUCUUUUGGUCCCUGCCCUAGCCACGCCCACUCCCAUAACCUCUGACCAUCGCCAUCUUGGGACCCCCUCCUCUCUUUCUGCUUCCUUGGCGUGCGCACACGUUUUCUCUGUCUCUCUCUCCUUUUAUUUCUCCUCUCUCCUUUUAUCUCUUUUCUCUGUCUUUCUUUCUCCCCCUUCCUUAAUACUUAUGGCUAUUUCCUGUGUUUACGUGUCUGCUACCUGCCGCCACCGUGGGCCAAGGAAGCGUGCCCUCCUGUAGCCGCUUUCUCAUGGCGGGCUCCGUCAGCCCGCCUGGGGGGGCGCAGGAAUCGUUUUAUAACAUGCAGGAAGGCCUAUAAGGCAUUUUCUUAGUGAUCAAUGGGGGAGGGCCCAUCUCAUCACCAAGGGUGGUAUCAUCCCUGGCCUAGUGGUCCUGGGUUAUAUAAGAAAGCAGGCUGAGCAAGCUGUAAGGAAUAAGCCAGUAAGCAGCACCCUUCUAUGCCCUCUGCCUCCAGGUUUCUGCCUUGGGUGUAGAAGUUCCUGUCCUAAUUUCCUUUGAUGAUGAACAGUGCUGUGGAAAUGUAAGUCAUAAACCCUUUCCUCCCCAGCUUGUUUUUGGUGAUGUUUCAUCAGCAAUAGAAAUCUUAGACAAGUUGGCAUCAGAAGUAGACAUUGCUGUGACAGCCCUGACCAUGUUUUUGGGAGCACUAUGAGAGGACUUUGGAACUUGAAGCUAGAAAGGUCACUGAGACCGCCUGUGGUGAGCUCACCCACAAGUAUUCUAUACAUUAAGAUCUAUUGGACAAGCCACAGGAGUAAGGACACUCCACAUGGAGUAACCCGUUUUGCAGAGCUACGGAAACAACUGUCUUUGAAUAAGUCACUGUCAAUUCUGUAAAAAUCUUGUGAAAUCACGGCAUUUCUCCCUUCUCUAGUCUCCCAGCAGUGUAUAAACCUGACUUUUCCUGUAGGGCAGCCGGAUACCUUCCCCACACAGUGAAGCCCUGGUGUGAAAGCAUUGUACUCAAGUCAAACCUUCAUCCUCAAAGCAAAAAUCUGCAUAAAACUAGGGCCCCACAAUUUUAUUGACAGCACUUACUGACAAGAAGGGAGCCCAAGUCUGCUAUAGCAGCAGACUCAAGUAGCUGUGAUCUACUGACUUUUGCUCUGACCUAACAAGCUACUAAUAUUUUGUAUUACCCUUCUCCUUGGUUUCAGUUAACAUAAGUCAUAGCCUAGGAGAUUAGCUGUUUAGACAGGAAAAAGGCCCGGAGUCGCUAAAACUAGCUUUAGAGAGAAAAAUUCUCACCUAGGCACCCUGUUGGAGUCAAAAACAAAGUUGCCACUAAUGCAAAUCAAGCCCUUAGGUCAUUCUGACUACCCAAGGCCGAGUUCCCAGAGUUCCCAACACUUCAUAGGCACACCUGCUGAGAUGUGAAGCCCUCCUUAUCAGAUCCACUGGCUUCUGUGACUCUGAAAAUGCCUGCCUGAUACUCUGGUUACUGCCCAUGGAAUUGCUAACUUUUCGAAAGGUCUGCCUAUAUAAACUGAAAGCUUUGUGAAGAAUGACCCCCUUUUUUCUUCCCUUCUUCCCCAAGGAAUAAACACGCAGGAGGAACACUUGUUCUACCCCUCAGAUCCCUCUCCCCAGCCAGUUUUCCCUGCCAUAGCAAAUCUUUCUGGACCCUGAGAGGUUUAAUGGGCUUAACCCCAAAAUAAACCUCGAUAGCCACCGAGUGUUGAGAGCUCUGUGGGCUGUUCUGUAGGAGCAUGGAAUACAGGAACACUGAGGGCAGCCAGUGUGGUGGUGGCACAGUCCCAGCACUCAGGAGGCACAAUAAGGAGGAUCUCUGUGAGUUCAAGGCCAGCUGGCCAAUGAGUUUCAGGACAAUAAACACAGUGAAACCAUCUUGAAA